CAUAUUUAUAAACAAGUUCAUCCGCAAACAUCGGCUUACUGUAUAUUGUUGAGUAACAUUUCUUUGAAUAUUAUUCCUUGCUUGCCAGGCUACAAGCAAGAAAAUCGUGAAAGCCGAUGUUUAUGUUGCAGCAUGUGAUGUCCCUGGAAUUAAAAGAUAUCUUUGUUAUCUCAGGAAUUUCUUCAAGCAUCAUUGGCUCGACAGCAGCAGAUGUUGAAAGCUCAAUCAUUGCAAACUAGUUCUGAUAUGAGGCAUGCCAUGGCGGCUUCUGCUCUAGAUGGAAGUAAUAGGU
Long non-coding RNA from Magnolia sinica, 292 nucleotides. RefSeq lists it as uncharacterized. The transcript is spliced from 3 exons. Lineage: Eukaryota; Viridiplantae; Streptophyta; Magnoliopsida; Magnoliales; Magnoliaceae. The record is from RefSeq and is a predicted model, not a curated record.